RNAcentral lists this long non-coding RNA (263 nucleotides) under Elaeis guineensis (African oil palm). RNAcentral's name for it is "long non-coding RNA (EGUI_LNC055744)". Lineage: Eukaryota; Viridiplantae; Streptophyta; Magnoliopsida; Arecales; Arecaceae. The record is from RNAcentral.
GAGGGCGAAGUCCGGCUCCCGUAGGAGUCCGGACGAAGUUUGCCUGCAGCCGAAGUUGGAGAUGGAGUCCAGCUCCUGUAGGAGUCCGGACGAAGCUUGCCUGCAGCCGAAGUUGGAGACGAAGUCUGGCUCCCGUAGGAGUCUGGAUGAAGCUUUCCUGUAGAAUCCCCGAGGGGUCACUCCGGACACGAACUUCGGCUGGGGGGGUUUUACACCCAACAGAUCCUAUUGUAAUUUAAUCUCUAGAUCUAAUUGGUUCAACC